AGUUGUAUCGUCUGUGAUAU
This 20-nucleotide microRNA is filed under the name Brugia malayi. RNAcentral describes it as "bma-miR-2b-5p". Its record names the gene bma-miR-2b-5p. Lineage: Eukaryota; Metazoa; Nematoda; Chromadorea; Rhabditida; Onchocercidae. The record is from miRBase by way of RNAcentral.